This is a non-coding RNA of Chrysemys picta bellii (western painted turtle), 157 nucleotides long. The record is from RefSeq and is a predicted model, not a curated record. NCBI's taxonomy places the organism in Eukaryota, Metazoa, Chordata, Testudines, Emydidae.
GUUGAUGGAGAACUUGAAGGGGGUGUGUCUGUUACAGAGGACCUAGCUCGGCGCAUUUUUGAGAUUUCUAGGAGACUACGUGCAAGCAUUUCUCAGGUUUCCAAGGGCCUACCUGUAAUCGUUUGUAAGGAUGUUGGGGAUAAAGUCAAAGGUGCUC